AUUUAAAUAGUUUAUUAAAAAUAAUAGUUUGUGGAACUAUAGAUGUAUGAUUUAUACUUUAAAUA
This 65-nucleotide transfer RNA is filed under the name Nitidulidae sp. BMNH 1274727. RNAcentral describes it as "tRNA-His". Lineage: Eukaryota; Metazoa; Arthropoda; Insecta; Coleoptera; Nitidulidae. The record is from RNAcentral.